Molecule: long non-coding RNA, 1362 nt
Organism: Nicotiana attenuata
Lineage: Eukaryota; Viridiplantae; Streptophyta; Magnoliopsida; Solanales; Solanaceae
Exons: 3
Source: RefSeq, a predicted model, not a curated record
AUGUCAAUGUUACAAAAUAAUCCACACGUACUAGACAGACUAAUUAAGUGAUCCGUUUUUCAUUGCCAAAUCACUCAAUUUAUAUGCACCAAGAUAUUGACACGUAAUGCGUAACACACUCACCUCCCACAAUAAUCCCUUCAGCCCUUUAACACAAACCUAAGUUGCUCGGACACGGGUGUGGUGUCCGAUACGGGCGCGGAUCUAGAGGUCGGAUCCUUCAAGAUGUAAAUUUUAAGAUUCGGGGAUACGGAUCCUAAUACGGGCGAGGGGAUCCAGCUAAAAAUAAUUCAAAAAUAUAAAAACAUCUCUAAAUUAUGAGAAAUUUUGAGGAAUUACUUACGUAUAGCUUGUAAAGUAUGGAUUUCUUUUUUAUUCUCAAGUUGUAGAUUAAAGGAUUGAUUUCCUAGAUAAGUUAUGCUAUUUUCUUCAAAUUUACCAUAGUUUUGGUUCUGACUUCGGGAAUCAAAUUGUAUCUCAUCUCGAAUUUUUUCGUCCGUCGUGGUCAAAUUACCCAAAAUUGUUUGACCAGAUCCGGUACAGAUCCCAUACUCACACAUAUACUAGUGUCGUGUCGACACAGGUGCAGUACCAAACUUGUCAUGUCAGAGCAACUUAGACACAAACAUUAAGAGACAAGACUACUUGGGAUUUCAGGCCAUCAAGCUGGAUAGAUUGUAUAGACAUGAUUCUCUUGGUGUCUAUCCGCAAUCCUUCUGAAACGUGGAGACAUUCAAGGAGACGGUUUUUGGAGAAAUCUUGUCUUCGGAUGAAAUUCAGCUUCUUCGUCGCCUCCUAGCCAAACUUGACUCUGCUAAUGUUGCCACAUCCAAUCAUGUGCAAUCAGGUGGAUACGAUUGAAUUAGCUUUGGACUACGAGAGGAAAACUCGUGAUUGGUGUGGAAGGGAAGAUCUGUUUAUGAUAUAGUUCAAGAAAGAGUCAUCUCAUUUCUAUUGAUGAAUUGGUAAAGUUUGAGAUUUCGAGAUGUAAGAUAUCCUCCGAUUAUUCUAUGGUUCUUUACAGUCUUGUACAAUCACCUUCUUGAUGUUGAUAUUUUGUAAAUAUUCUAGUUGAAUUGUUUAUGUUUAUGAUUUGAAAUUGUUUGGGAAACGAGUUGCACGCCACAACGGAAUUGAAAGGUAUUAAAAUGAUAUGAAAGAAUAAGGAUGGAUUAUGAUAUGAACAGAUGAUGAUGAUAUGGUGGGAUCGGGUUGUGCGCCGAAACGGAUUUGAUAUGUUGUAAUUGUUUGUGAUUAUUGAGUUAUCCUCGGUAGUGUGAUAUGAGACUUGAGACUUCGUUAUUCUGGGCUCUCUAGUAGUUGACCUUCGGGUCCGUUUAUAUGACUUUAUUGCUUUCUCUA